Molecule: ribosomal RNA, 431 nt
Filed under: uncultured Desulfobulbus sp.
Lineage: Bacteria; Pseudomonadati; Thermodesulfobacteriota; Desulfobulbia; Desulfobulbales; Desulfobulbaceae
Description: bacterial SSU rRNA
Rfam family: Bacterial small subunit ribosomal RNA
Source: RNAcentral
AAGCAACGCGAAGAACCUUACCUGGUCUUGACAUCCGGAGACCCUUAGGAAACUAGGGGUGCUCCAUCUGGAAGAAUCUGGAGACAGGUGCUGCAUGGCUGUCGUCAGCUCGUGUCGUGAGAUGUUGGGUUAAGUCCCGCAACGAGCGCAACCCUUGCCUUUAGUUGCCAGCAGUUCGGCUGGGCACUCUAAAGGGACUGCCGGUGUUAAACCGGAGGAAGGUGGGGAUGACGUCAAGUCCUCAUGGCCUUUAUGACCAGGGCUACACACGUACUACAAUGGCCGAUACAAAGGGCAGCGACACUGCGAGGUGAAGCCAAUCCCGUAAAAUCGGUCUCAGUCCGGAUUGGAGUCUGCAACUCGACUCCAUGAAGUUGGAAUCGCUAGUAAUCGUGGAUCAGCAUGCCACGGUGAAUACGUUCCCGGGCCUU